UAGUCACUAGCUCCAAUGGUAGAGCGGGAGAUUCCAAACCUUCAGGUUUUCGGUUCGAGUCCGAAGUGGCUAGCCA
This 76-nucleotide transfer RNA is filed under the name Aureispira sp. Its description in RNAcentral is "tRNA-Trp". It matches the Rfam family "tRNA". Rfam says of the family: Transfer RNA (tRNA) molecules are approximately 80 nucleotides in length. Their secondary structure includes four short double-helical elements and three loops (D, anti-codon, and T loops). Further hydrogen bonds mediate the characteristic L-shaped molecular structure. tRNAs have two regions of fundamental functional importance: the anti-codon, which is responsible for specific mRNA codon recognition, and the 3' end, to which the tRNAs corresponding amino acid is attached (by aminoacyl-tRNA synthetases). tRNAs cope with the degeneracy of the genetic code in two manners: having more than one tRNA (with a specific anti-codon) for a particular amino acid; and 'wobble' base-pairing, i.e. permitting non-standard base-pairing at the 3rd anti-codon position. The record is from RNAcentral. Lineage: Bacteria; Pseudomonadati; Bacteroidota; Saprospiria; Saprospirales; Saprospiraceae. RNAcentral also lists the same sequence under 1 other name.